Molecule: ribosomal RNA, 253 nt
Filed under: uncultured bacterium
Lineage: Bacteria
Description: partial 16S ribosomal RNA
Rfam family: Bacterial small subunit ribosomal RNA
Source: RNAcentral
UACGGAGGAUGCAAGCGUUAUCCGGAAUGAUUGGGCGUAAAGCGUCCGCAGGUGGCUGUGUAAGUCUGCUGUCAAAGAGCGAAGCUCAACUUCGUAAAGGCAGUGGAAACUACACGGCUAGAGUGCGUUCGGGGCAGAGGGAAUUCCUGGUGUAGCGGUGAAAUGCGUAGAGAUCAGGAAGAACACCGGUGGCGAAGGCGCUCUGCUAGGCCGCAACUGACACUGAGGGACGAAAGCGUGGGGAGCGAACAGG